This 506-nucleotide ribosomal RNA is filed under the name uncultured bacterium. Its description in RNAcentral is "partial 16S ribosomal RNA". It matches the Rfam family "Bacterial small subunit ribosomal RNA", at positions 28 to 523 of the family's 1533-position model. The record is from RNAcentral.
GAUGAACGCUAGCUACAGGCUUAACACAUGCAAGUCGAGGGGUAACGAGAGGGAAGCUUGCUUUCCUUGUCGACGACCGGCGCACGGGUGAGUAACGCGUAUCCAACCUGCCCCCAACUAGGGAAUAACCUUGCGAAAGUAAGACUAAUACCCUAUAAUUUCCUCAGAUGUCAUCUGACGAGGAAUAAAGAUUUAUCGGUUGUGGAUGGGGAGGCGUCUGAUUAGCUUGUUGGCGGGGUAACGGCCCACCAAGGCAACGCUCAGUAGGGGUUCUGAGAGGAAGGUCCCCCACAUUGGAACUGAGACACGGUCCAAACUCCUACGGGAGGCAGCAGUGAGGAAUAUUGGUCAAUGGGCGGAAGCCUGAACCAGCCAAGUAGCGUGCAGGAUGACGGCCCUAUGGGUUGUAAACUGCUUUUAUACAGGAAUAAAGUUAGCCACGUGUGGUUAUUUGUAGGUACUGUAUGAAUAAGGACCGGCUAAUUCCGUGCCAGCCGCCGCCGUAA